Molecule: small RNA, 848 nt
Filed under: Pan troglodytes (chimpanzee)
Lineage: Eukaryota; Metazoa; Chordata; Mammalia; Primates; Hominidae
Description: processed transcript
Source: RNAcentral
GCUUCCUGCAGAACAAGUGAGAGUGAAUAUGAGUGCCUCAAGGCAGAAGAAGCAGUCUUUUGGAACGUGGUCUUGGAAGUAACAUGUAUCACCUCUACUUGCUUCUGUUGCUAGAAGCAAGUCAUCAGCCUCCAUGCAAGGAGAGGAGACUAUAGGAAACACGAAUACCAGGAGGAGGGGAUCACUGGGGUUCAUCUUAAAGGCUGUCUACUAUAUACUAGAUAAUUGUUAUAAAAAUUAAAGAAUUCUAAAAUCUUACUGUUCAAGGAGAAAUAAAAAUCAACCAUAAGUUAUUAUUAAGUUUUAAACAAAUCUUUCUCCCUCUCCCCCCUUAAUAAUCCACACUCAUCAGUUUUCUUGCUCUCUUUCUUUUUAGGGAAAAAAUGCAUUUUUCAAAGACCUAACUUCAAUUCAGUUAUUACCUAGUGGGGAAAUGGAUCCAAAUUUUAUUUCUGUACGACAACAGUUCUUAUUGAAAGUUGUCAGUGCAGCUGUCCAGGCCCAACAUUCAGCCACAAAGGUCAAAGAUCCCACAGAAGAGGCCACACCCACUCCUUUUGGGAAAGACCAAGAUUGGCCAGCUCUAGCUGUGGAUUUAGCCCAUCACCUUCAAGUUAGUGAAGAUGUUGUUAGAAGGCAUUAUGUGGGGGAACUAUACAACUAUGGAGUUGACCACUUAGGAGAAGAGGCCAUUCUACAGGUUCAUGACAAAGAGGUCCUUGCCUCUCAGCUGCUGGUGCUCACGGGGCAAAGGCUGGCUCAUGCGCUUCUCCACACCCAGACAAAAGAAGGAAUGGAGCUGCUUGCCAGACUUCCACCCACACUGUGUACUUGGCUGAAAGCAAUGG